GGCUCCGUGGCGCAAUGGAUAGCGCGUCGGACUUCUAGAGUAUAGAAAAGUAAUUCGGAGGCUGUGGGUUCGAGUCCCACCGGAGUCG
This 88-nucleotide transfer RNA is filed under the name Lingula anatina. It matches the Rfam family "tRNA". Rfam says of the family: Transfer RNA (tRNA) molecules are approximately 80 nucleotides in length. The record is from Rfam by way of RNAcentral. Lineage: Eukaryota; Metazoa; Brachiopoda; Lingulata; Lingulida; Lingulidae.